Molecule: transfer RNA, 77 nt
Filed under: Candidatus Saccharimonadota bacterium
Lineage: Bacteria; Candidatus Saccharimonadota
Also listed under: 4 other names
Description: tRNA-Thr
Rfam family: tRNA
About the family: Transfer RNA (tRNA) molecules are approximately 80 nucleotides in length. Their secondary structure includes four short double-helical elements and three loops (D, anti-codon, and T loops). Further hydrogen bonds mediate the characteristic L-shaped molecular structure. tRNAs have two regions of fundamental functional importance: the anti-codon, which is responsible for specific mRNA codon recognition, and the 3' end, to which the tRNAs corresponding amino acid is attached (by aminoacyl-tRNA synthetases). tRNAs cope with the degeneracy of the genetic code in two manners: having more than one tRNA (with a specific anti-codon) for a particular amino acid; and 'wobble' base-pairing, i.e. permitting non-standard base-pairing at the 3rd anti-codon position.
Source: RNAcentral
GCCGCUUUAGCUCAGUUGGUUAGAGCAGCUGUUUUGUAAACAGCAGGUCCUGGGUUCGAAUCCCUGAAGCGGCUCCA